GAUGAACGCUGGCGGCGUGCCUAAUACAUGCAAGUCGAGCGAACGGACGAGAAGCUUGCUUCUCUGAUGUUAGCGGCGGACGGGUGAGUAACACGUGGAUAACCUACCUAUAAGACUGGGAUAACUUCGGGAAACCGGAGCUAAUACCGGAGGAUAUUUUGAACCGCAUGGUUCAAAGGUGAAAGACGUUCUUGCUGUCCCUUAUAGAUGGAUCCGCGCUGCAUUAGCUAGUUGGUAAGGUAACGGCUUACCAAGGCAACGAUGCAUAGCCGACCUGAGAGGGUGAUCGGCCACACUGGAACUGAGACACGGUCCAGACUCCUACGGGAGGCAGCAGUAGGGAAUCUUCCGCAAAGGGCGAAAGCCUGACGGAGCAACGCCGCGUGAGUGAUGAAGGUCUUCGGAUCGUAAAACUCUGUUAUUAGGGAAGAACAUAUGUGUAAGUAACUGUGCACAUCUUGACGGUACCUAAUCAGAAAGCCACGGCUAACUACGUG
Molecule: ribosomal RNA, 497 nt
Filed under: uncultured bacterium
Lineage: Bacteria
Description: partial 16S ribosomal RNA
Rfam family: Bacterial small subunit ribosomal RNA
Source: RNAcentral